CGAACGCUGGCGGCAGGCCUAAUACAUGCAAGUCGAACGGCUCUUCGGAGCAGUGGCGGACGGGUGAGUAACGCGUGGGAAUGUGCCCUUAGGUACGGAACAACACAGGGAAACUUGUGCUAAUACCGUAUGUGCCCUUCGGGGGAAAGAUUUAUCGCCUUUGGAGCAGCCCGCGUUGGAUUAGGGAGUUGGUGAGGUAAGGCUCACCAAGCCGACGAUCCAUAGCUGGUCUGAGAGGAUGACCAGCCACACUGGGACUGGGACACGGCCCAGACUCCUACGGGAGGCAGCAGUAGGGAAUCUUGCGCAAUGGGCGAAAGCCUGACGCAGCCAUGCCGCGUGUAUGAUGAAGGUCUUAGGAUUGUAAAAUACUUUCACCGGGGAAGAUAAUGACGGUACCCGGAGAAGAAGCCCCGGCUAACUUCGUGCCAGCCGCCGCGGUAA
Molecule: ribosomal RNA, 444 nt
Filed under: uncultured bacterium
Lineage: Bacteria
Description: partial 16S ribosomal RNA
Rfam family: Bacterial small subunit ribosomal RNA
Source: RNAcentral